ACGAACGCUGGCGGCAUGCCUAAUACAUGCAAGUCGAGCGGUGCAGCAAUGCAUAGCGGCGGACGGGUGAGUAACGCGUGGGCAACCUGCCUCAAAGGUUGGGAUAACACCCCGAAAGGGGUGCUAAUACCGAGUGUGCUCUAGGUGCCGCAUGGCAUAUAGAGGAUAGGAGAAAUCCGUUUUUGAGAUGGGCCCGCGUCUGAUUAGCUAGUUGGUAGGUAACGGCCUACCAAGGCGACGAUCAGUAGCCG
This 251-nucleotide ribosomal RNA is filed under the name uncultured bacterium. RNAcentral's name for it is "partial 16S ribosomal RNA". It matches the Rfam family "Bacterial small subunit ribosomal RNA", at positions 29 to 289 of the family's 1533-position model. The record is from RNAcentral.